GUAUAGUGCAUAUAUUAUGCACCAACACUAAGAUUUCAAAAUAUUAGUUCUUCUCUGUAGUUCGUUGAACAUUAUUUUGAUAUUUAUUUUUUUAUCUCUUUUACUCUUUUAAGUGGUCUUAGUGAUCUGACCAAAAUGGCAGAAAAGUGUGCCAUUGCAAAAGAUAUUACUGAAUUGAUAGGUAAAACACCAUUGGUGUAUCUCAACAAUAUCGCCGAUGGUUGUGUUGCUCGUAUUGCUGCCAAACUAGGGAUGAUGGAACCCUGCUCUAGCGUUAAAGACAGGUACAGUAUGAUACAAGAUGCAGAGGAGAAAGGCGUCAUCAGGCCUGGUGAGAUUCUGCUAGGGGCAUGAAAGGGGCUGUUCAAAAGGAGGAAGAAAUAAAGGAAAAGACCUCCAAUGCCUACAUUCUUCAUCAAUUUUAAAACCCUGCCAACCCAAAGGUAUUAUGGCACCAGUACUUUUGAGUUUCUGUAUUAUCACGUAUCAGCAUAUGUUGGUAGCUGAUUGGAUAGAUUAAUUAUUUGAUCGAUAUCAUCUGUUUAGGUCCAUUAUGAGAUUGUUAGAAUAGGAAAUAAUAUUGCAUAUAUUUUAUUCUUAUUUGAUUUUAUUUUUCUUUGAUUGAUGUAAUGGUCUAGCCCAUAAUUUAUGCCUGAUGGCACUCCUGUAAUUACGCUUUAUUAUCAAUAUAAAUGGGGAUGGGAUCUCACUCAUUCCCCAACUCUUUCCAUCCCUUCUCUAAAAUCUUCAUGGUGUUAAAGUCACCUGUACCCUAGUAACCCUAAUCCAGCCAUACCCAGCCAUAACCUAAUCCUUCCAUACCCUCUUACACCGACAGUCAAUACCAACCCCACCCAGCUCUCUGAAACCCCUUGCCCAGGCCGUCGGCACUCUAGAACAGUCCUCUUAGGCUCCCCGACAGCCUAUUAGGGUUAGUCGGCAAUCUUCUCUAUUCAAUGGUCAAAACUAUUUAGCGUGGUCGCAGAGAGUUUGACUAUUUUUUUUGAAGAGCACAGGGAAGAUGGGGUAUGUUGAUGGCAGAAUACAGGCACCUAGCACUGUGGACCCUAGUUAUGAUCAGUGGGAAAUCACCAAUUCUCUCAUCAUGGGUUGGUUGAUCCACUCUAUGGUCCUUGAGAUUGGAGAGGGCUAUUUGGCUAUGGUCAUCAUGGGUUGGUUGAUCCACUCUACGGUCCUUGAGAUUGGAGAGGGCUAUUUGGCUAUGGACACUGCAGAGGAUAUCCGGGAGGCUGUAGCUACCACUUACUCCCGCAAAGGGAACUUCUCAUAGACUUUUGAGUUACGUUGCUCCAUUGAAAGGUCGGUACAGGGUGAGAUGAUUGUUCUAUAGUAUUUUACCUUCCUUAGCAAUGGGUGGAAGCGACUUGAUCAUCUUCAGGAUUAUAAACUUGUCUACCCCAUGGAUUCUGCUGGUUACCGAAAGUUUGUAGAACAGGUGCGAGUCUUCAAGUUCUUUGAAGCCCUAAGUGUGGAGUAUGAUCCAAUUCGGAGUAGACUACUUGGUAUGGAUAUGCUUCAUUCUCUCCAGGAAGCCUUUGCUAUUGUGCAGAAUGAGGAGAAUCGCCGUUCCGCGAUGCUUGCUUCUCCCACUACUGAUCGUUCUACCUUGGUUUUUGCACCCCCCGAGAUGAAGAGCGUAUGACUUGUGGUUCUCAUCCUUUCUCUGAGAAGGAUACUCUUUUCUGUGACUACUGCUGUAGACCUCGACACACACGUAAGACUUGCUGGAAGCUGCAUGAAACUCCAUCCGGUGGCUGAGGAGAUCAUCUUGGUUCUCGAUGGGGUAGGUCAAGCCAGUCUAGAGGCCGAGGGACCAAUGCUCGGGCACAUCUUUCUAAAACGGUUGAGCACCACUUUCAGCUCCUGUUGUCUCACCGGCUGCUGAUGUUUCUGGGUUGUCUGCCUCAGAGUUUGAGAUUGGUCUUUGCCACUUGCUAGACCGUCGAGCCUUUCCUACUGUCUUCGGUGCAUCCUCUUCUUCUUUUGCCAACUCACGUAACUUGGCUUCCUUUACAAGUGCAUUGCUAUCUCAUAAAACUAUUCUUUGGAUUAUUGAUUCGGGUGCUUCCGAUCAUAUGUCUGGUUCCUCUAAUUUGUUCUCAGAGUAUACACCCUCCUCAGGUCAGGAAAAAGUGCGUAUUGCAGACAGUACUAUUUCAUCUGUGUCAGGGAAAGGACCUUAUCACGAGAAAGAGGAUUGGUAGUGGUAGAGAGGACCAUGGUCUCAACAUUCUGGAUCAGACUGACAAGCUAGCUCAUUCAUCUAUUUAGUUACCAUCCACCAAGGAAGACCUUUGGCUGUGGCAUCGUCGCUUAAGACAUCCCUCCUUUUUACUACUUAAGCAUCUUUUUCUUCUGUUUUUUAGAAAAAUAAUGUGUCUGAUUUUUAG
Non-coding RNA from Camellia sinensis, 2411 nucleotides. NCBI's taxonomy places the organism in Eukaryota, Viridiplantae, Streptophyta, Magnoliopsida, Ericales, Theaceae. The record is from RefSeq and is a predicted model, not a curated record.